Molecule: ribosomal RNA, 250 nt
Filed under: uncultured bacterium
Lineage: Bacteria
Description: partial 16S ribosomal RNA
Rfam family: Bacterial small subunit ribosomal RNA
Source: RNAcentral
UACGUAGGGGGCAAGCGUUGUCCGGAAUUACUGGGCGUAAAGGGCGUGUAGGCGGUUUUUUAAGUCAGAUGUGAAAGUUCGGGGCUCAACCUCGGAAUCGCAUUUGAAACUGGAGAACUUGAGUACUGGAGAGGUAAGUGGAAUUCCUAGUGUAGCGGUGAAAUGCGUAGAUAUUAGGAGGAACACCAGUGGCGAAGGCGACUUACUGGACAGAUACUGACGCUGAGGCGCGAAGGCGACUACCUGGACC